UACGGAGGGCGCAAGCGUUGUUCGGAAUCACUGGGCGUAAAGCGCGUGUAGGCGGCCGGGCAAGUCGGAUGUGAAAUCCCGAGGCUCAACCUCGGAACUGCAUUCGAAACUGCUCGGCUCGAGUCCCGGAGAGGAUGGCGGAAUUCCCGGUGUAGGGGUGAAAUCCGUAGAUAUCGGGAGGAACACCAGUGGCGAAGGCGGCCAUCUGGACGGUGACUGACGCUGAGACGCGAAAGCGUGGGGAGCAAACAGGAUUAGAUACCCUGGUAGUCCACGCUGUAAACGGUGAGUGCUAGACGUCGCGGGUAUUGACCCCCGCGGUGUCGAAGCUAACGCGUUAAGCACUCCGCCUGGGGAGUACGGCCGCAAGGCUAAA
Molecule: ribosomal RNA, 376 nt
Filed under: uncultured bacterium
Lineage: Bacteria
Description: bacterial SSU rRNA
Rfam family: Bacterial small subunit ribosomal RNA
Source: RNAcentral